CAGCGUGUUGCUAGUAGGCCAUCAAACUGUCCCCUUCCCAGCUGGAAGGGGGACAGGGAGGGCUAAACAACGGAUGGAAUAAUUGAUAAUGGCCUUGGACGUCACACGGCCUGUUAGAGAACAAAGGAAAGGACGAGUGCUUUCUGAAGCAGGGACAAGACUGACAUGCUCGUGCUUUGCAGACAGGACGAAGCAUGUGACCGCUGGCUAGCUUUCUGACAAGAUAGAGGAAAACAAAUGCACGCGCACUGAUAAAGCGUGAGCGGCACUGGGGGAAAGGGUGAAGUGUCCUGCUCAAGGACACAACGGCAGUGAUCUGGAUGGCAAGAGGCGGGGAGCGAACCUGCAAUCCUCAAGUUUCUGGCACGGCUGCGCUACCCACCACACCAUAAGGUAAGACAUAUUGUCUGGCGUUUUACCUUCUGGGACCUGCUGAUCUGUAUUUGGGAUCUGCAUAGGUCCUGAAGAUUUGUGCGGGUCCGCCUUUGUAGUCCGUGCCAACACCAUAGUCGAUAAGCUUCUUCUUUUUCUCUAUCUUCUUGUUAUGGGACAUUCAUCCUCCGCUGUUGUCCCAUCUUAAAACUCAUUUGUAUACUCUAGCCUUUAAAUAGACCCCCUUUUUAGACAAGUUGAUCUGCCGUUUUUUUUCUUUUCUGCUCUGCCCCCCUCUCCUUCGUGGAGGAGGGGGCACAGAUGAAGUGCUGGCUGUCCAAAGUCGGGACCCGGGGUGGACCGCUCGUCUGUGCAUCGGUUGGGGACGUCUCUACGCUGCUGACCUGUCUCCGCUCGGGAUGGUCUCCUGCUGGCCCCACUAUGGACUGGACUCUCACUAUUAUGUUAGAUCCACUAUGGACUGGACUUUCACAAUAUUAUGCUUGACACACUCG
Long non-coding RNA from Entelurus aequoreus (snake pipefish), 887 nucleotides. RefSeq lists it as uncharacterized. NCBI's taxonomy places the organism in Eukaryota, Metazoa, Chordata, Actinopteri, Syngnathiformes, Syngnathidae. The record is from RefSeq and is a predicted model, not a curated record. The transcript is spliced from 3 exons.